UACAUGUGGGGCAAGCGUUGUUCGGAACUACUGGGCAUAAAGGGUGCGUAGGCGGCCUGAUAAGUCAGUGGUGAAAUCCGGUGGCCCAACCAUCGAACUGCCAUUGAUACUGCUGGGCUUGAGUGCGUGAGGGGUAACCGGAACGAGUGGUGUAGCGGUGAAAUGCGUAGAUAUCACUCGGAAGGCCAACGGCGAAGGCAGGUUACUGGCACGCAACUGACGCUGAGGCACGAAAGCGUGGGGAGCAAACAGG
Molecule: ribosomal RNA, 253 nt
Filed under: uncultured bacterium
Lineage: Bacteria
Description: partial 16S ribosomal RNA
Rfam family: Bacterial small subunit ribosomal RNA
Source: RNAcentral